UCUGAAAAAGAAAGACAAAAACGGGUCCUAGAAAUCUACAGGAUCGGACUGGCAGGCAUCAUGACACAUAGCCUCUCUUAGCCACAAAGGUCAAGUGCGAGCAGGCCUUUUGGCCCUGCCAAAUGAAACCUGUGUUCAGUACCAGUGAAAUAGGAUCUCAGUCUUGCCAAAGUUGAGAGAUAUGGAGGAGAGAGCACACGCAAGCCAGUCCCUCUCUGUCCCUGGCAAAGGUUCUCAACAUAGAACAAGGCUUACCUCUUCUUAAUACGUCCCACAAUCCAGCCAGCAAGAAACAGCCAAGAAACCCGUGAUGUCCCUGAGGCUGCUGGGAGUCAACACCUUGCCAGGGGGCCAGCCUGGCUUGCUGGAAAGCAUUUGCAUUGAAAUAAAAAGAGACAAACAAUGACAAAUAAUGGGGCUCAGGAGUGAUCUGCGACAGUCACCUCCCAAAUAAAACUAGGUGCUAAAAGAAACAGUGAGGUGGUAAUGAGAACAGACACUUGUUGACUUCCAGCUCUGGAGGGAACACUUCUGAUUGUUUUCCCAUGAAAUACCCGUUUUCCUUCUCCCAACAACUCAAGAGAAUCUGCUGUUACUGUCUCACUCCUCCUACAUCCAACGAAACCAGGGCGGAGUGCGGACAUCGUUGCCAAGGUCAGGACGCCACCCAGGUUCAGGCAGCUGCGGCUGGCUCAAAGGGCUUGCCCUCCGCACACACUGCAGCUCAUUCACGGGAGCGUGGAAAUCGAGAGAAGCAGCAGCCCAACUGUAAUUAGAGGCCAGAGGAGGAGACGCGGGGACCCGCUCAGGAUUUAUGCCUGAGCGGUGGCGAUGUGGAGCAAGUCCUCUGUGUAAUGAAGAUGCCACAUUCUAAUGAGUUUGGGAGAAAGGAGAGUCUGUUAGCCGGAGGUCUAUAUUUGGAUCUUUAUCUGCUGAUAUGAUGAAGAGAUGAAACUUCCCGAUUGCUCUCCCUGUAUGUGGGAUAGCGGAUUGGAAAUUCUUUUCAGGAUGCACUCCCCAAACUCGGGCUGAUGGACCUGGUUCAGGUUUUCAUUAAAAACUGCUCCCAUACCUAA
Molecule: small RNA, 1076 nt
Filed under: Rattus norvegicus (Norway rat)
Lineage: Eukaryota; Metazoa; Chordata; Mammalia; Rodentia; Muridae
Description: uncharacterized LOC102554734
Source: RNAcentral